Molecule: long non-coding RNA, 346 nt
Filed under: Callithrix jacchus (white-tufted-ear marmoset)
Lineage: Eukaryota; Metazoa; Chordata; Mammalia; Primates; Cebidae
Description: lncRNA (ENSCJAG00000081082.1)
Source: RNAcentral
UCUAACUCCAGCUCUAAAGUGAUCUACCCACUUUGGCCUUUCAAAGUGUUGUGAUUACAGUUUUGGAAAGAUAAAAGACAAGAAGACAUUCUUACCACCCACCGCAACCAGGCACCUGCAGGUAGGGAUCUGAGGCCUCAGUAAAAUUGUUUUUCUUUCUUUGCUUUUUUUAAAAAAAUUAUUAUUGUCAGUUUUCCCAGGAUCUCAUCUGCAGUCUCCCAAUGAGUAGAGUGAUUUGUUCUCUUGGCUCACAAAAACUAUAGGGUGAAGAGAAUUUUUCUUCCCUCCUUUCUGAAAUUUUGAGUCUGUAAAACAAACAUAAUAGAUAGAUUAACAGAAAAGGCAU